This 467-nucleotide ribosomal RNA is filed under the name uncultured bacterium. RNAcentral describes it as "partial 16S ribosomal RNA". It matches the Rfam family "Bacterial small subunit ribosomal RNA", at positions 28 to 507 of the family's 1533-position model. The record is from RNAcentral.
GAUGAACGCUGACAGAAUGCUUAACGCAUGCAAGUCAACUUGAAUUUGGGUUUUUAACUUAGGUUUGGGUGGCGGACGGGUGAGUAACGCGUAAAGAACUUGCCUCACAGCUAGGGACAACAUUUGGAAACGAAUGCUAAUACCUAAUAUUAUGAUAAUAGGGCAUCCUAUAAUUAUGAAAGCUAUAAGCGCUGUGAGAGAGCUUUGCGUCCCAUUAGCUAGUUGGAGAGGUAACGGCUCACCAAGGCGAUGAUGGGUAGCCGGCCUGAGAGGGUGAUCGGCCACAAGGGGACUGAGACACGGCCCGUACUCCUACGGGAGGCAGCAGUGGGGAAUAUUGGACAAUGGACCGAGAGUCUGAUCCAGCAAUUGUGUGUGCACGAUGAAGUUUUUCGGAAUGUAAAGUGCUUUCAGUUGGGAAGAAACAAAUGACGGUACCAACAGAAGAAGUGACGGCUAAAUACGUG